This 497-nucleotide ribosomal RNA is filed under the name uncultured bacterium. Its description in RNAcentral is "partial 16S ribosomal RNA". It matches the Rfam family "Bacterial small subunit ribosomal RNA", at positions 28 to 507 of the family's 1533-position model. The record is from RNAcentral.
GAUGAACGCUGGCGGCGUGCCUAAUACAUGCAAGUCGAGCGAACAGACGAGGAUCUUGCUCCUCUGACGUUAGCGGCGGACGGGUGAUUAACACGUGGAUAACCUACCUAUAAGACUGGGAUAACUUCGGGAAACCGGAUCUAAUACCGGAUAAUAUAUUGAACCUCAUGGUUCAAUAGUGAAAGCCGGUUUUGCUGUCACUUAUAGAUGGAUCCUCGCCGCAUUAGCUAGUUGGUAAGGUAACGGCUUACCAAGGCAACGAUGCGUAGCCGACCUGAGAGGGUGAUCGGCCACACUGGAACUGAGACACGGUCCAGACUCCUACGGGAGGCAGCAGUAGGGAAUCUUCCGCAAUGGGCGAAAGCCUGACGGAGCAACGCCGCGUGAGUGAUGAAGGUCUUCGGAUCGUAAAACUCUGUUAUUAGGGAAGAACAAAUGUGUAAGUAACUAUGCACGUCUUGACGGUACCUAAUCAGAAAGCCACGGCUAACUACGUG